This 446-nucleotide ribosomal RNA is filed under the name uncultured bacterium. RNAcentral's name for it is "bacterial SSU rRNA". It matches the Rfam family "Bacterial small subunit ribosomal RNA", at positions 329 to 792 of the family's 1533-position model. The record is from RNAcentral.
GGCCAGACUCCUACGGGAGGCAGCAGUGGGGAAUAUUGCACAAUGGGGGGAACCCUGAUGCAGCGACGCCGCGUGGGUGAAGAAGCGCCUCGGCGCGUAAAGCCCUGUCAGCAGGGAAGAAAAUGACGGUACCUGAAGAAGAAGCCCCGGCUAACUACGUGCCAGCAGCCGCGGUAAUACGUAGGGGGCAAGCGUUAUCCGGAUUUACUGGGUGUAAAGGGGGCGCAGACGGCGAUGCAAGCCAGGAGUGAAAGCCCGGGGCCCAACCCCGGGACUGCUCUUGGAACUGCGUGGCUGGAGUGCAGGAGGGGCAGGCGGAAUUCCUGGUGUAGCGGCGAAAUGCGUAGAUAUCAGGAGGAACACCGGUGGCGAAGGCGGCCUGCUGGACUGCAACUGACGUUGAGGCCCGAAAGCGUGGGGAGCAAACAGGAUUAGAUACCCCCGUA